UCCCUGGUGGUCCAGUGGCUAAGACUCUGCGCUCCCAAUGCAGGGGGUCUGGGUUCGAUCCCUGGGCAAGGAG
Molecule: transfer RNA, 73 nt
Filed under: Bos taurus (domestic cattle)
Lineage: Eukaryota; Metazoa; Chordata; Mammalia; Artiodactyla; Bovidae
Also listed under: 1 other name
Rfam family: tRNA
About the family: Transfer RNA (tRNA) molecules are approximately 80 nucleotides in length. Their secondary structure includes four short double-helical elements and three loops (D, anti-codon, and T loops). Further hydrogen bonds mediate the characteristic L-shaped molecular structure. tRNAs have two regions of fundamental functional importance: the anti-codon, which is responsible for specific mRNA codon recognition, and the 3' end, to which the tRNAs corresponding amino acid is attached (by aminoacyl-tRNA synthetases). tRNAs cope with the degeneracy of the genetic code in two manners: having more than one tRNA (with a specific anti-codon) for a particular amino acid; and 'wobble' base-pairing, i.e. permitting non-standard base-pairing at the 3rd anti-codon position.
Source: Rfam by way of RNAcentral